UUAAGGUCUAUGAGGCUCUUCUCCUGCAACAGUCCUUUGAGCCGGGGACCCUCAGUCAUGUUCUCCUAAAGCCACUGCUCCUGCCGCUGCUGCUUCCAUAGCCUCCGCUGCGGGGCCCUGCCUUCAAGAGAAAGGAAGCUGUAAGAGAACUGUG
This is a long non-coding RNA of Trichosurus vulpecula (common brushtail), 154 nucleotides long. RefSeq lists it as uncharacterized. The transcript has 3 exons. The record is from RefSeq and is a predicted model, not a curated record. Lineage: Eukaryota; Metazoa; Chordata; Mammalia; Diprotodontia; Phalangeridae.